This 981-nucleotide long non-coding RNA is filed under the name Cricetulus griseus (Chinese hamster). Its description in RNAcentral is "lncRNA (ENSCGRG00015039412.1)". The record is from RNAcentral. Lineage: Eukaryota; Metazoa; Chordata; Mammalia; Rodentia; Cricetidae.
CAGUGUUUCGGUUUUAAAAACACGCUUGGAAGACUAGGUGCUACCCACCCUCAGUACGUGACCUCCACUUUUGGGAAGAGGCUAAUUCUCAUUGGGAAAAUACUAUUUAAGCUCAUCUUCUUCUGCCUUCUCUUCAUUCACCAGAACACUUUAAGUGGCAGACGUUCUCUUCAGGAGCAGAGGAGACACAGCCAGACUCUAGAAGAUGGUUCUUGUUUGCUGGGGAGGCAGACGACUCAAUGGACCUUGACAUUCAGCCUGACAAGCUCUUUACUGGGCAUGCACAGAUGGUUCAGCCGCUCCAUCUGAUGUAGAGAGAUCCUUGAGACACUGCUCCUACCCCAAAGUCCAGCAGAUUGGCAGCUCUUACUUCCGGAAAUGCAGGAGCAUCAACCUCGAUGUUGGUAGAGCUUACCUCUGUAUGAUCAAGAAACCAAGAGUCAGAAAGUUCCUGUUACUCUCCCAGCAACACACAGCUAGAAAGGGAUGCGGCAACGUUUGAAUCCAGCUGCCAUCCACCAAGCAGGCUUCCCAAGGAGUUUCCUCAGCUUCUGCCAAGGCACAGUCAGCCAGCCCUGGGUGUUCCCCUGGACUCCUGUCGGAACCUUUUGUUGCUGUGUGUAGCGCUUGCACUCAUGGCAGACCCUGAGGGUGAAGGCCGUGUUUCAUGCCGUCAGCAGCACUGGCACAUUCCAUGUCACGUCCAUUACAGAGUGGAAUGACAGCAGCUGCCAUUUGCCGGGUCUGGCACAGCACCAAAUGCUUUAUGUCUAUGAUCUCACUUAAUCUCUACAUGAGGCAGAGGCCACCGAUGAGGAAAGAGAGCCCGAGAGAAGAGAAAUGAUGGGGCCAUGCUCCCAUAAAUGCUGGAGAUGUGGCUUUAAUUCUGGCUUCUCUACUUACUGGUUACAUCACAAUCCAUUUAGUAUCUUGGAGCCUUAGUUUUGUCAUCUGUGUAAUGAGUGUGACAAUCGAUAUUUC